GACGAACGCUGGCGGCGUGCUUAACACAUGCAAGUCGAACGGGAUUUAGUAGACAGAAGCCUCGGCUAAAGAUUACUAAUGAGAGUGGCGAACGGGUGAGUAACGCGUGAGCAACCUGCCUAUGACAGUGGGAUAGCCUCGGGAAACCGGGAUUAAUACCGCAUAAAAUCGUAGAAACACAUGUUUUAACGGUCAAAGAUUUAUCGGUCAUAGAUGGGCUCGCGUCUGAUUAGCUAGUUGGUGAGAUAACAGCCCACCAAGGCGACGAUCAGUAGCCGGUAUGAGAGGAUGAACGGCCACAUUGGAACUGAGACACAGUCCAAACUCCUACGGGAGGCAGCAGUGGGGAAUAUUGCACAAUGGGGGAAAACCUGAUGCAGCGACGCCGCGUGAACGAAGAAGGUAUUCGUAUCGUAAAGUUCUGUCCUAUGGGAAGAUAAUGACAGUACCAGAGAAGAAAGCUCCGGCUAAAUACGUG
This 478-nucleotide ribosomal RNA is filed under the name uncultured bacterium. RNAcentral describes it as "partial 16S ribosomal RNA". It matches the Rfam family "Bacterial small subunit ribosomal RNA", at positions 28 to 507 of the family's 1533-position model. The record is from RNAcentral.